RNAcentral lists this transfer RNA (73 nucleotides) under Stegodyphus mimosarum. It matches the Rfam family "tRNA". From Rfam's summary of the family: Transfer RNA (tRNA) molecules are approximately 80 nucleotides in length. Their secondary structure includes four short double-helical elements and three loops (D, anti-codon, and T loops). Further hydrogen bonds mediate the characteristic L-shaped molecular structure. tRNAs have two regions of fundamental functional importance: the anti-codon, which is responsible for specific mRNA codon recognition, and the 3' end, to which the tRNAs corresponding amino acid is attached (by aminoacyl-tRNA synthetases). tRNAs cope with the degeneracy of the genetic code in two manners: having more than one tRNA (with a specific anti-codon) for a particular amino acid; and 'wobble' base-pairing, i.e. permitting non-standard base-pairing at the 3rd anti-codon position. Lineage: Eukaryota; Metazoa; Arthropoda; Arachnida; Araneae; Eresidae. The record is from Rfam by way of RNAcentral.
GGCUUCGUGGUGUAGUGGUCAACACACUCGACGCGUAACCGCGAGGUCCGUGGUUCGAUUCCAGGUGAAGCCG